RNAcentral lists this ribosomal RNA (370 nucleotides) under uncultured organism. RNAcentral describes it as "bacterial SSU rRNA". It matches the Rfam family "Bacterial small subunit ribosomal RNA", at positions 527 to 896 of the family's 1533-position model. The record is from RNAcentral.
CAAGGGGGCUAGCGUUGCUCGGAAUCACUGGGCGUAAAGCGCACGUAGGCGGCUUCUUAAGUCAGGGGUGAAAUCCUGGAGCUCAACUCCAGAACUGCCUUUGAUACUGAGAAGCUUGAGUUCGGGAGAGGUGAGUGGAACUGCGAGUGUAGAGGUGAAAUUCGUAGAUAUUCGCAAGAACACCAGUGGCGAAGGCGGCUCACUGGCCCGAUACUGACGCUGAGGUGCGAAAGCGUGGGGAGCAAACAGGAUUAGAUACCCCUGGUAGUCCACGCCGUAAACGAUGAAUGCUAGCCGUUGGCGAGCUUGCUCGUCAGUGGCGCAGCUAACGCUUUAAGCAUUCCGCCUGGGGAGUACGGUCGCAAGAUUA